This 678-nucleotide ribosomal RNA is filed under the name human gut metagenome. RNAcentral's name for it is "bacterial LSU rRNA". It matches the Rfam family "Bacterial large subunit ribosomal RNA", at positions 2248 to 2925 of the family's 2925-position model. The record is from RNAcentral.
AGGACAGUGUCUGGUGGGUAGUUUGACUGGGGCGGUCGCCUCCCAAAAUGUAACGGAGGCAUGCAAAGGUUCCCUCAGGCUGAUUGGAAACCAGCCGUCGAGUGCAAACGCAAAAGGGAGCUUGACUGCAAGAGAGACAUCUCGAGCAGGUACGAAAGUAGGUGUUAGUGAUCCGGUGAUCCCGAAUGGAAGGGUCAUCGCUCAUUGGAUAAAAGGUACGCCGGGGAUAACAGGCUGAUCGCAUCCAAGAGUUCACAUCGACGAUGCGGUUUGGCACCUCGAUGUCGGCUCAUCACAUCCUGGGGCUGAAGCAGGUCCCAAGGGUACGGCUGUUCGCCGUUUAAAGUGGUACGCGAGCUGGGUUUAAAACGUCGUGAGACAGUUUGGUCCCUAUCUUCUGUGGGCGUAGGAGAAUUGAAAGGGCCUGUCCCUAGUACGAGAGGACCGGGAUGGACACACCACUGGUGGACCUGUUGUCGUGCCAACGGCACAGCAGGGUAGCUAUGUGUGGAAGGGAUAACCGCUGAAAGCAUCUAAGCGGGAAGCCUGCCUUAAGAUAAGUUCUCCCUGACGCAAGUCCUGAAGGGCCGAGGUAGACGACCUCGUUGAUAGGCUGGAGGUGGAAGCCCUGUGAGGGGUGGAGCUGACCAGUACUAAUAGCCCGUGCGUCUUGUUUCU